GACGAACGCUGGCGGCGUGCCUAAUACAUGCAAGUCGAGCGGACGGAUGGGAGCUUGCUCCCAGACCGUCAGCGGCGGACGGGUGAGUAACACGUGGGCAACCUGCCUGUAAGACUGGGAUAACUCCGGGAAACCGGGGCUAAUACCGGAUAACUCUUUCCCUCACAUGAGGGAAAGCUGAAAGAUGGCAUCUCGCUAUCACUUACAGAUGGGCCCGCGGCGCAUUAGCUAGUUGGUGAGGUAACGGCUCACCAAGGCGACGAUGCGUAGCCGACCUGAGAGGGUGAUGGCCCACACUGGGACUGAGACACGGCCCAGACUCCUACGGGAGGCAGCAGUAGGGAAUCUUCCGCAAUGGACGAAAGUCUGACGGAGCAACGCCGCGUGAGUGAUGAAGGUUUUCGGAUCGUAAAACUCUGUUGUCAGGGAAGAACAAGUACCGGAGUAACUGCCGGUACCUUGACGGUACCUGACCAGAAAGCCACGGCUAACUACGUG
This 498-nucleotide ribosomal RNA is filed under the name uncultured bacterium. Its description in RNAcentral is "partial 16S ribosomal RNA". It matches the Rfam family "Bacterial small subunit ribosomal RNA", at positions 28 to 507 of the family's 1533-position model. The record is from RNAcentral.